This 64-nucleotide transfer RNA is filed under the name Tagiades vajuna. RNAcentral's name for it is "tRNA-Glu". The record is from RNAcentral. Lineage: Eukaryota; Metazoa; Arthropoda; Insecta; Lepidoptera; Hesperiidae.
AUUUAUAUAGUUUAUUAAAACAUUACAUUUUCAUUGUAAAAAUAAAAAAAAAUUUUUAUAUAUU